Non-coding RNA from Microcebus murinus (gray mouse lemur), 2132 nucleotides. NCBI's taxonomy places the organism in Eukaryota, Metazoa, Chordata, Mammalia, Primates, Cheirogaleidae. The record is from RefSeq and is a predicted model, not a curated record.
UGCUGACUCAAGAGUUCACCUCCCCACCCCACCCCCUGCAUGACAGACAGCAUCAGCCAUUUAAUCCUAUUAAUCUCAAGGCGGGGGGCCUAAGAAAGUCGGUUGCAGAAGGGUUAUAUACCAUCAUCUAUACCAUCAACUCAAAUGUUUUCUGUGGGAGACUCUUUGUACAACCCAGAGGAGAUAAGGAAGCCGAAGAAGACUUUGUAGAGAGAUGUGGACAUGGCUCAAUAGAGAUCGUGAAAAAAUUGUAAACAACAGCUGCAACUUGCUGGGAGAUUCCCGAGGUGGAAGAACUCGUCAUCACUGCUGUCUGUUCUUAUCUCAGAGGAAGCCCAAGAUGGGCUGUGCAGGAAACAGAGCCUAUGUUCAAGAUGAGGAACCGAGGCUUGUUGAAAUAAGGACUGUAGUUCAGGUCAAUAAGAGAGCCUAGAAGUCAAAGAAACCUCUAGGUGAGAACAGGAUGGGCAUAGUUGAGUCAAGCUCUCUUUGCACCUGUCACUGGGAGCCACCUUUCUGUCCAGGAGCUCAAGAGGACACCAGCCACCCAGUGACCUUUUCCGCCUCUGAUGCCUCAACUCGCAAACAGGUUGUGAAACAACCUGGGCAGUGACUCAGCCCGCGCCUGCUCCGCUGGUCUGUGCAGGUAGGCCGGGCUGUUUGGUUGAGCCUUGAAAGGACAUCGUGUCUGACAAACAUGUUGCUUGUCAAAGCCCUGACGGGGGUGCCAAGCACAAAUUGUGAACUCUGCUCCUUGAGGCGUCACAGAUGACUAAACUGGGGUGCCUAAGUUGCAUACAUCUCCUCGUUGUUAUUCUGGUCUAACAACCCUCCAGGGCCAAUGUCAGGAAGAGAGGAAUGUGUUAGAGGCCAGGGAGCUGCUAUUUCUUGAGAGGCAGCUUGGCAUGGUGGCCAGGGCCUGGGUUUGUGGCAUCCACAUCAUUCAGACCUGAGUUCAGAUUCUGCCUCUGCUGCUUACUAUCUGUGUGACUCUGGGCAAGUGGCUUACCCCUGUAACUGUGAACUUCCGUAUGCUAUAAAACAUCCACCUUGCAGAAUUGUCUUUAUGAGAUAAAAGAUGUAGAUUUCCUAAAACAUAGAAAACUCUUCAUAAAUCAUUAUUAGAAUCCUGAGCCGAAGUUUGCCCUUCCCCCUACUCCAAGUGGAAAUUGCCCCUCCUGCUAUUGUAAUGCCGUUUCCCAUGCACCCCAAAGUAGUGAACAAGCAACCAGACAGCUGUGGCAGACACAGUGCCAGGCCACUUGUACCACUGUUAUCCCAUUGAUCGCUGGAUUCAUUUCCUAUUAUAAGAAGAGAAAUAGACAUUUUUAAUCAAAGUGUGUGGUUGGCUGGAUAAUGGCCCCCAAAGAUAUCUGAGUCCUAAUCUCUGGAACCCAUCAGUGUGUUACCUUAUAUAUAAUGUGAUCACUUUGCAAAUGGGAUUAGGUUAAGGAUAACAAGAUGGGCGAUUACCCUGGAUUGUCUGGGUAGGCCCUAAAUGUGAUCACAAAUAAGAAGGAGGUAGAGGAGGUUUGACUACAGAAGAGAAGGCAAUGUAAUGAUGAAAGCAGAGAUUGGUGUAAUGGGACCUGAAGUCAAGGAAUGACAGCAGCCACCAGCAGCUGGAAGAAGCAAGAAAUGAACUCUUCCCUGGCGCCUUCAGACAGAACCAGCCCUGCUGCUACCUUUACUUCAGCCCCCUAAGACUCAUUUCAGACUGCUGGCCUCCAGAAAGUAAGAGAAUACAUUUCUGUUGUUUUAAGUCACUAAAUUUGUGGUAAUUUGUCACAACAGCAAUAGGUAACUAAUUCAAGGAGUGUGGUUAGAUUAUUGAUUAUAAAAAUUAGUACUUGUGGUAUAUCCACACAUGGAGUAUUAUUCAACAAUAAAAAGGAAUGAAGUACUGAUGCAUGCUACCACUGAACCUUGUAAACAUGCUGAGGGAAAGAAGGCAGUUGUAAAGCACCAUAGAUUGUAUGAUUCCAUUUAUAUGGAAUGUCCAAAAUAGGCAAAUCUAUAAGAACAGAAAGUAUAUCAGUGGUUGACUAGGGCUGGAGGGAUGGAAGGCUUAGGAGGUAAUCAAUAAGAAGUAUGGGGUUUCUUUUGGGGUUAAUGAAAUGUUCUAAAUUGUG